Long non-coding RNA from Rhinopithecus bieti (black snub-nosed monkey), 5024 nucleotides. Lineage: Eukaryota; Metazoa; Chordata; Mammalia; Primates; Cercopithecidae. The record is from Ensembl.
AGACAGGGUUUCACCGUAUUAGCCAGGAUGGUCUCGAUCUCCUGACCUUGUGAUCCGCCCGUCUCGGCCUCCCAAAGUGCUGGGAUUACAGGCUUGAGCCACCGCGCCCGGCCGGAAUCUUCAUUUUAAACCAUUCAGGGUGAACUUUAUUUUAUUGAGGUUUGAGAACCACGAUAUAAAUGAACCUUUGGCUUCAAAGCACCUUGCAUUUCUGAAGCUCCUGGAGUGAGUGGAGUGACCCGGUCAUCUUUCAGACCCAGUGAGAGGAGUUAAAGGAAGGCUGGAACCCUCACCUGCUGCUUCUCCUCCUGCUUGUCAUACUCUUCAUUCCUGCCUUCUGGAGCCUGAAGACCCACCCAAUGUGGAGAAGUGGGUGGGUGCUCCCUUCACUGGCUCCAGGCUGGAGUUGGGACCCUGGAGCCCAGAAGUGCCCUCAGCCCUGGAGGUAUACAGCUGCCACCCACCACAGAGCCCGGCCAAGAGGCUGCAGCUCACGGAGCUACGGGAACCAGCAGAGCUGGUGGAGUCUGAUGGCGUGCCAGCCAGCUUCUGGGCGACAGCCCAGAACUCGGGAGGCUCAGCUUACAGUGAUGAGAGGGACCGGCCGUACGGCCUGGUGUCCAUCGAUACAGUGACUGUGCUAGAUGCAGAGGGGCCAUGCACCUGGCCCUGCAGCUGUGAGGAUGACGGCUACCCAGCCCUGGACCUGGACGCUGGCCUGGAGCCCAGCCCAGGCCUAGAGGAUCCACUCUUGGGCGCGGGAACCACAGUCCUCUCCUGCGGCUGUGUCUCAGCUGGCAGCCCUGGGCUAGGAGGGCCCCUGGGAAGCCUCCUGGACAGACUAAAGCCACCCCUUGCAGAUGGGGAGGACUGGGCUGGGGGACUGUCCUGGGGUGGCCGGUCGCCCGGAGGGGUCUCAGAGAGUGAGGCGGGCUCGCCCCCGGCUGGCCUGGAUAUGGACACGUUUGACAGUGGCUUCGUGGGCUCUGACUGCAGCAGCCCUGUGGAGUGUGACUUCACCAGCCCCGGGGACGAAGGGCCCCCCCGGAGCUACCUCCGCCAGUGGGUGGUCAUUCCCCCACCACUUUCGAGCCCUGGACCCCAGGCCAGCUAGUGAGGCUGACCAGCUGUCCAGAGGUGGCCAGGCCACUGGGCCCUGAGCCAGAGACAAGGCCACUUGAGUUAUGAUGUGAAGACACCUGCAGCCUUUGGUCUCCUGGAUGGUCCUUUGAGCCUGAUGUUUACAGUGUGUGUGUGUGCGUGUGCGUGCACGUGCAUAUGCAUGUGUGUGUGUGCAUAUGCGUGUGUGUGUGCAUAUGCGUGCAUGAGUGUGUGUGUGUGUCUUAGGUGCGCAGUGGCAUGUCCACCUGUGUGUGUGAUUGCAUGUGCCUGUGGGCCUGGAAUAAUGCCCAUGGUACUCCAUACAUUCACCUGCCCUGUACAUGUCUGGGCCCACGGAGCUCACCCAUGUGCAUGAGUGUGCACAGCAAACAUGUCUGUGGUCAACAGAUGACAACAGCCAUCUUCCCUUCUGGGGUCUUGUGUUGCAAGCUGGUCCACAGCACCUCCGGGGCUUUGUGGGAUCAGGGCAUAGUGUGAAAGAUGCUGAGUCCAGGCCUCCAGCUUCUGCCUCCAGGAGCUGCAAGAAGUCCAUGUUGUUCCUUAUCACCUGCCAGCAGGAAGGGAAAGGGGAUGGAGUGAGCCCACAGUGACCCCGGGAAUGGGAAGAUUUUGGGUGGCCCAUGGAUGAAGGUCUGAAUCCCGACUCUGAUACCUUCUGGCUGUGCUACCUGAGCCAAGUCGCCGCCCCUCUCUGGUCUAGAGUUUCCUUGUCCGGACAAUGGGGAAAGCAUGACCCACCUGGGGGAAAUUGGCGAUGUCACCCGUGUACAGUACACAGCCCAGAGCAGACCCUCAAUAAACGUCAGCUUCCUUCCUUCUGUGGCCAGAGCCGAGGCGGGCGGGGUGAGAACAUCAAUCGUCAGUGACAGCCUGGGUGCCCAAGGGGCCGUCCCACUUGCAGAGGGCCACUCAGGGGGUUUCCAGGCUUAAAAUCAGUCUGUUGCGUCUCGUGGAAACAGCUCCCCACCAACCAAGAUUUCUUUUUCUAACUUCUGCUACUAAGUUUUUAAAAAUUCCCUCUAUGUGCUCAAGAGAUAUUUGUUAAACACCAAUUACAUAGCAGGCCAAGGCUCAUGGGACCCUUCCCCCGUGGCAUUCAUGGAGGAAGGGUGCAGGCCGGAACCAUGCAGUGUGCUCCAGCCACACGUCCUGCUGGGCCCCCCACCCCGCCCCAGUUCAGUCCUGCAUCUUACUUGUUCAUCCUGGAUAACUGAAGGGAGGUCAAGUUUUUUAUCAUUGAUUUGUCAGAGAACCUGUCGAAGUGUGAAUUAAGAAGCUAAGAAAAUACUUCUUAGCAACAUUUUCUUUUUCUUUUUUUUUCUUUUGAGACAGUUUCACUCUUGUCGCCCAGGCUGGAGUGCAGUGGUGCAAUCUCAGCUCACUGCAACCUGUCUCCCCGGUUUAAGCGAUUCUCCUUCAUCAGCCCCCGAGUAGCUGGAAUUACAGGCACACACCACUACACCUGGCUAAUUUUUGUAUUUUUAGUAGAGCUGGGGCCACCCUGGCCCGGCCCCGUCUUCCCCAAAGGGCAGACUGCAGGCUGCAGGGCCAUGCUGGAGGAGCCAGCUCUGGCUCACUCGUGCUUUUGGAGCAGGGUUGCGUUGGAAGUCAGCAGAAGUUGGUCCUUCAUUUCUCAUCUGUGAAAUGGGGUGGCUGGGAGAGGUAGCUGAGAGAAUGUGUGAGAGUCCUUGGUGCCCGGCAGGAGGCUGGAAGGUUUUAGAACACUGAUGGUUAUAAGAGUGGGACUGUGAGCCUGGGAUCGAGGGGUGUGAGACUUGGAUGGGAGCACAAGAGUAGAAGCACAGCUUCUGCACAGGGGGCCGCCCUCAGCACCCCCUGCACCUGCACCCUAGGGACUCUUGGGUCCAGAUGUGCUGUGGUUUUCACACCUUCUUGGGGGCAACAGGUUCCAGGAGCCACCUGCAGGUGUCACCUCAGCUAGGCUCCCAGGAAACCAGCGCAGCUCUCCUGCACCCAGAGCUUGCUGGGUGGGGGAGGGGAACACAGAUGGCUGGGGAGGGCCUGACUGAGGCCAGACUGGGGGGCUCUGGACUGGGGCAGACGAGGUUUCUCAGGAUCCCACCUUUGAAGGGAACUCAGUCCAUAAACACAGAGGAGCAAAGUUGGAGGCCAGGUGCAGUAACUCACACCUGUGAUCCCAGUACUUUGGGAGGCCAAGGCAGGUGGAUCACUUGAGGCCAGGAGUCCAAGACCAGCCUGGGCAACAUAGCAAGGCCCCAUCUCUACAAAAAUUAUUAUUUAAAAAAAAAUUAGCCGGGCGUGGUGGUGCUUGCCUGUAGUCCCAGCUGCUCGGAACGCUAAGGUGGGAGGAUUGCUGGAGCCCAGGAGUUUGAGGCUGCAGUGAGCUGUGAUUGCACCGUUGCACUCCAGCCUGGGUCACAGAUCAAGACCCUGUCUCUUAAAAAUAAAAGUUGGAGACAAGAGCUGGCUCAUCACCUGAAAGGACGGAUUAGUAGGUAGGAGGGUGGGUGGAGGAUGGAUGAAUGUGUGGAUGGAUAGGAGGAUGGUAUUAAGUUGGUGCAAAAGUCUUUGCUGUUACUCUUAAUGGCUUUAAUAAAGAGCUUGAAGGAAGAAUGGUUGGUUGGAUAGACAGAGAUAAACGCAUACUGGAAACAAAGAUAAAGAUAAAACACAAGUCAUACCAGGCCAGCAACUCUAUUUUGUUCACUGCCUUUAGUCUCAGCCUGGCACAUAGUAGGCACUCAAUAAAGCCUGAUUUGUAGCAUUUGCUUAUUUCCAUGGUGUAAUUUCAUGCUCCUGAUUUGAGUCAAAACACAGAGUUGGGAAGAGAUAUGCACAGUCUGCUCUCUUGGCUGGUAUGAGUGAGGCCCGGCUCACUUACCGAUGGUAGCCCAAAGAGAACAUCAAGAGGGGCAGGGGGCUUCAGGGAGGAGGUGGUGUUGGUUGGACUUUGAAAAAUGAAUAGGAGGCUGGGAAUGGUGGCUCAUGACUGUAAUCCUAGCACUUUGGGAGGCCGAGGUGGGCAGACCAUUUGAGGUCAGGAGUUCGAGACCAGCCUGGGCAACAUGGUGAAACCCAGUGUCUACUAAAAGUACAAAAAUUAGCUGGGUGUGGUGGCGCAUGCCUGUAAUCCCAGCUACUCAGGGGGCUGAGGCAGGAGAAUCUGGAAGAUGGAGGUUGCAGCGAGCAGAGAUUGCACCACUGUACUCCAGCCUGGGUGACAGAGUCAGACUACAUCUCAAAAAAAAAAAGAAAAAAGAAAAAUGAAUAGGACUUGUUAGAUGUACCAGCUAUUUGGGGCAGAGGGAAGAGCCUGGACAAAGGCCUGGAGGUAUGACUAAGGAUCAGGAGCAAGUGGGACGGGUGGUUCCUUGCCCUCCAAAGACCAGGCCAGAACUGCUGACAAGCCUCACUUAAGAGGAAGGGGGACCAAUAGCAACAUCACUUUCCCAGCCGCCGCAUUCCUCACCUUGCAAGCUCUGAGGGGCAAAGUCAUCCAUUUGACAGAUGAAAUGAAGGCACACUUCAGGCUGGUCACCUGCCUGAGGUCACACACUGAAUGAGUGGUCAGAGUUGGAACCAGAACUCUGGGCUCCUGAUGCCAAUUUCAGCUCUUUUUCACCUUGCCCUGCUGGAAAGUACCUAGAUUGAGAGGUGAGGAAGGUUUAGCAGACCCCUGUGGGUGCCCGUUGCAUCUGCCUGUGCAGCAGUUUGGAGACGUGGCCAACCCCAGAUCUGCGAGUGGCUACGUGACCCAGGCCUGCCCAAUAGGAUGUUUCUUCCCUGUGGCAACAGUACAGUUUAAGGACAGACAUACCCUAGUGGUCCAUACUCUCUUUCUGCUUGGAUUACUAAGCUGUAAGGAGGGUACUGGGAGGGGCAGCUAGAAACACACAAGAAAGCAGAGCUGAGAGAUGGAG